AAAAAGGGCUUCUAUCGUAAGUGGCACAUAUAGGGCAACUUGUUUGCUCUGCUUGUGCAAUCAACAUCAAGAGAUUUUGGAAGCAUUAUUUUUUGGUACUUGGGCAGCUAGUGAUCAUUGGUCCUGGAGCCCUU
Cavia porcellus (domestic guinea pig) is the source of this 134-nucleotide small nuclear RNA. Ensembl annotates it as U11 spliceosomal RNA. The record is from Ensembl. NCBI's taxonomy places the organism in Eukaryota, Metazoa, Chordata, Mammalia, Rodentia, Caviidae.